Molecule: ribosomal RNA, 484 nt
Filed under: uncultured bacterium
Lineage: Bacteria
Description: partial 16S ribosomal RNA
Rfam family: Bacterial small subunit ribosomal RNA
Source: RNAcentral
AUUGAACGCUGGCGGCAUGCUUUACACAUGCAAGUCGAACGGCAGCGCGGGCUUCGGCCUGGCGGCGAGUGGCGAACGGGUGAGUAAUACAUCGGAACGUGCCCAGCAGUGGGGGAUAGCUCGGCGAAAGCCGGAUUAAUACCGCAUACGACCUGAGGGUGAAAGCGGGGGAUCUUCGGACCUCGCGCUAUUGGAGCGGCCGAUGGCAGAUUAGCUAGUUGGUGGGGUAAAGGCCUACCAAGGCGACGAUCUGUAGCUGGUCUGAGAGGACGACCAGCCACACUGGGACUGAGACACGGCCCAGACUCCUACGGGAGGCAGCAGUGGGGAAUUUUGGACAAUGGGCGAAAGCCUGAUCCAGCAAUGCCGCGUGUGUGAUGAAGGCCUUCGGGUUGUAAAGCACUUUUGGCGGGAACGAAAAGGACUGUGCCAAUGCCACGGUUCGAUGACGGUACCCGCAGAAUAAGCACCGGCUAACUACGUG